Molecule: ribosomal RNA, 325 nt
Filed under: uncultured eukaryote
Lineage: Eukaryota
Description: partial 18S ribosomal RNA
Rfam family: Eukaryotic small subunit ribosomal RNA
Source: RNAcentral
CCCUUAGAUGUCCUGGGCCGCACGCGCGCUACACUGAUGCAUUCAACGAGUUUUACCUUGGCCGAGAGGCCUGGGCAAUCUUUUAAACCUGCAUCGUGAUAGGGAUAGAUUAUUGCAAUUAUUAAUCUUGAACGAGGAAUUCCUAGUAAACGCAGAUCAUCAAUCUGCAUUGAUUACGUCCCUGCCCUUUGUACACACCGCCCGUCGCACCUACCGAUUGAAUGGUCCGGUGAAGCCUCGGGAUUGUGGCCAGUUCACUUUAUUGGGAGUUGGCUGCGAGAACUUGUCUAAACCUUAUCAUUUAGAGGAAGGUGAANUCGUAACA